UUCGUACGGGCGCCGACUCGUCGAUCGAGCGUCAGCGUAAGCUUCUCUCCUCCGCCCGUCACCCUGAAGCUGGUUAUAAGCGGGCCCGUUAGCGAGAGCGAGCCGGGUCCCGCAUAGCGGGGACGGAGAGGAAAUUUGGCCGCCGCCGAGAGCAAGGCGGCGUCGCGGACGUCCCGAGACGAACACGGACAACGGCGCGGCUUGUGCUUAAGACCACGGGGCCACCGGGCGCAACACGCAAACCGCCGAGCGAGCGAUUCGGUGAGCGCCGGAUUUUACGGCCGCGAAGGUCCAGAGCGCGUCGCAAGAGCAAGCGACGCGAUUGUUUUGACACUAGCCGACCCUCACACAGACGAA
RNAcentral lists this unclassified non-coding RNA (357 nucleotides) under Ampullaceana balthica. Its description in RNAcentral is "sequence contains ITS1, 5.8S rRNA gene, ITS2". The record is from RNAcentral. Lineage: Eukaryota; Metazoa; Mollusca; Gastropoda; Lymnaeidae.